Molecule: ribosomal RNA, 253 nt
Filed under: uncultured bacterium
Lineage: Bacteria
Description: partial 16S ribosomal RNA
Rfam family: Bacterial small subunit ribosomal RNA
Source: RNAcentral
UACGGGGGGGGCAAGCGUUGUUCGGAAUUACUGGGCGUAAAGGGCGCGUAGGCGGCCUGCUAAGUCGGAUGUGAAAUCCCUCGGCUCAGCCGAGGAACUGCAUCCGAUACUGGCGGGCUUGAAUCCGGGAGAGGGAUGUGGAAUUCCAGGUGUAGCGGUGAAAUGCGUAGAUAUCUGGAGGAACACCAAUAGCGAAGGCAGCUCGCUGGGACGUUACUGACACUGAGGCGCGAAAGCGUGGGGAGCGAACAGG